Molecule: transfer RNA, 92 nt
Filed under: Chloroflexota bacterium
Lineage: Bacteria; Bacillati; Chloroflexota
Description: Chloroflexi bacterium (groundwater metagenome) tRNA-Ser
Rfam family: tRNA
About the family: Transfer RNA (tRNA) molecules are approximately 80 nucleotides in length. Their secondary structure includes four short double-helical elements and three loops (D, anti-codon, and T loops).
Source: RNAcentral
GGAGGGAUCGCAUAGUGGUCUAGUGCGGCCGCCUGCUAAGCGGUUGCCCCGCGAAAACGGGGUCAUGGGUUCGAAUCCCAUUCCCUCCGCCA